Molecule: ribosomal RNA, 468 nt
Filed under: uncultured bacterium
Lineage: Bacteria
Description: partial 16S ribosomal RNA
Rfam family: Bacterial small subunit ribosomal RNA
Source: RNAcentral
GACGAACGCUGGCGGCGUGCUUAACACAUGCAAGUCGAACGGAAAGGCCCUGCUUUUGUGGGGUGCUCGAGUGGCGAACGGGUGAGUAACACGUGAGUAACCUGCCCUUGACUUUGGGAUAACUUCAGGAAACUGGGGCUAAUACCGGAUAGGAGCUCCUGCUGCAUGGUGGGGGUUGGAAAGUUUCGGCGGUUGGGGAUGGACUCGCGGCUUAUCAGCUUGGUGGUGGGGUAGUGGCUUACCAAGGCUUUGACGGGUAGCCGGCCUGAGAGGGUGACCGGCCACAUGGGGACUGAGAUACGGCCCAGACUCCUACGGGAGGCAGCAGUGGGGAAUAUUGCACAAUGGGCGGAAGCCUGAUGCAGCAACGCCGCGUGCGGGAUGACGGCCUUCGGGUUGUAAACCGCUUUCGCCUGUGACGAAGAGUGAGUGACGGUAAUGGGUAAAGAAGCACCGGCUAACUACGUG